CGCAUCCUGGGGCUGGAGUAGGUCCCAAGGGUUGGGCUGUUCGCCCAUUAAAGCGGCACGCGAGCUGGGUUUAGAACGUCGUGAGACAGUUCGGUCCCUAUCCGCUGCGCGCGCAGGAAGUUUGAGGAGACCUGUCCCUAGUACGAGAGGACCGGGACGGACGAACCUCUAGUAUGCCAGUUGUCCCGCCAGGGGCACCGCUGGUUAGCCACGUUCGGAACGGAUAACCGCUGAAAGCAUCUAAGCGGGAAGCCCGCUCCAAGAUAAAACCUCCAACACAGCAAUGUGUGAAGGCACCCCACAGACCAUGGGGUCAAUAGGCCGGAAGUGGAAGACGGGACCAAAGACUGUCGCAGCUGACCGGUACUAAUCAGCCAACAACCUCAACAAA
This 391-nucleotide ribosomal RNA is filed under the name Cellulomonadaceae bacterium. Its description in RNAcentral is "partial 23S ribosomal RNA". It matches the Rfam family "Bacterial large subunit ribosomal RNA", at positions 2541 to 2925 of the family's 2925-position model. The record is from RNAcentral. Lineage: Bacteria; Bacillati; Actinomycetota; Actinomycetes; Micrococcales; Cellulomonadaceae.